GCCUUCGUGGUGUAGUGGUCAGCACGCUGUAUUCUAGAGGUCCGUGGUUCGAAUCCCGGCGAAGUCC
Molecule: transfer RNA, 67 nt
Filed under: Stegodyphus mimosarum
Lineage: Eukaryota; Metazoa; Arthropoda; Arachnida; Araneae; Eresidae
Rfam family: tRNA
About the family: Transfer RNA (tRNA) molecules are approximately 80 nucleotides in length. Their secondary structure includes four short double-helical elements and three loops (D, anti-codon, and T loops).
Source: Rfam by way of RNAcentral